GCGGGGGUAGCUCAGGGGUAGAGCUCCUGCCUUCCAAGCAGGUGGCCGCGCCCCAGAAAAACCGAAUAGCGAAUCCCGUCCCCCGCUCCA
RNAcentral lists this transfer RNA (90 nucleotides) under Chloroflexota bacterium. RNAcentral's name for it is "tRNA-Gly". It matches the Rfam family "tRNA". From Rfam's summary of the family: Transfer RNA (tRNA) molecules are approximately 80 nucleotides in length. The record is from RNAcentral. Lineage: Bacteria; Bacillati; Chloroflexota.